AACAACACCUAAACCCAAGAGGGCAGCUGUUGCAGCAUCCAGUUCAUCUUAAGAAUGUCAACGAUUAGUCAUGCAAUAAAUGUUCUGGUUUUAAAAAAUACAUAUCUGGUGUUUGGUCUCAGCUUCAGAACAUUCACUUAUAAAGAAACCCUGCUGAUUAAAUCUCUCUUGGGCUUCCUCCUGAAAUGAGUUUGGAUCAUAAUACAAGAGAAGCACAGGGCAAAGACACUGCAUAACCUCAAGAACUAAGAAUGGAAGGACUGGCCAGGCCUGGUGGUGCACACCUGUAAUCCCAGCUACUCAGGAGGCUGAGGCAAGAGAAUCGCUUGAGCCUGGGGGGCAGAGGUUGCAGUGAACUGAGAGAACGCCGUUGCACUCCAGUCUGGGCGGCAGAGCGAGACUCCAUCUCAAAAAAAAAAAAAAAAAAAGAUAAAGGAAGGACUUAAGCAAAAUCUUC
This 457-nucleotide small RNA is filed under the name Pan troglodytes (chimpanzee). Its description in RNAcentral is "processed transcript". The record is from RNAcentral. Lineage: Eukaryota; Metazoa; Chordata; Mammalia; Primates; Hominidae.